RNAcentral lists this ribosomal RNA (774 nucleotides) under uncultured Neocallimastigales. RNAcentral describes it as "partial large subunit ribosomal RNA". It matches the Rfam family "Eukaryotic large subunit ribosomal RNA", at positions 22 to 635 of the family's 3401-position model. The record is from RNAcentral. Lineage: Eukaryota; Fungi; Neocallimastigomycota; Neocallimastigomycetes; Neocallimastigales.
GUACACGCUGUGACUAGCAUAUCAAUAAGCGGAGGAAAAGAAACUAACAAGGAUUCCCCUAGUAACGGCGAGUGAAGCAGGAAGAGCUCAAAUUUGAAAUCUUAAAGGGUUUCCCUUUACGAAUUGUAGUUUAAAGAAGUGUUUUCUGUUGAGGUUUUGGUAAAAGUUCUUUGGAAUAGGACAUCAUAGAGGGUGAGAAUCCCGUAUUUGACCUUUACUUUCAACUUUGUGAUACACUUUCAAAGAGUCGGAUUGUUUGGGAAUGCAGUCCAAAAUGGGUGGUAAAUUUCAUCUAAAGCUAAAUAUUGGCGAGAGACCGAUAGCGAACAAGUACCGUGAGGGAAAGAUGAAAAGAACUUUGAAAAGAGAGUUAAACAGUACGUGAAAUUGUCAAAAGGGAAGCGUUUGACACCAGUGUUGUUUUUCUGAAAAUCAAUUAAAGAACUGUUUAUGCUAAGUUGUUUAGACUUUAUCAGCUAACUGUUUAGCUUUGAGCUUUUCUUUAAUGCACUUUUCAGUUAACAAGUCAACAUCAAUUUCUUUUGCUGUAAAAAAGCUUGAGGAAGGUGGCUUGAGAUUCGUCUUAAGUGUUUAUAGCCUCUUGCCUAUGCAGUCGGAGAGAUUGAGGUCUGCAGCGUAGAUCCUUCGGGGCUAAAUGCAUUUGUGCUAAGUUAUAGCAUUUUAUAGACAACUUGUUGACUAUGAUUUGUCUUGUAGCUUACUCGCUUAUGUUAUUUUACCUACGCUUAGGAUGUUGAAGAUGUAGCACAUCAU